GUAGGUAUAGUUUAAAUAAAAUAUUAGAUUGUGAUUCUAAAAAUGGAGGUUAAAAACCCCCUACCCACC
RNAcentral lists this transfer RNA (69 nucleotides) under Solegnathus hardwickii (Hardwicke's pipefish). Its description in RNAcentral is "tRNA-His". It matches the Rfam family "tRNA". Rfam says of the family: Transfer RNA (tRNA) molecules are approximately 80 nucleotides in length. Their secondary structure includes four short double-helical elements and three loops (D, anti-codon, and T loops). The record is from RNAcentral. Lineage: Eukaryota; Metazoa; Chordata; Actinopteri; Syngnathiformes; Syngnathidae.